Molecule: ribosomal RNA, 253 nt
Filed under: uncultured bacterium
Lineage: Bacteria
Description: partial 16S ribosomal RNA
Rfam family: Bacterial small subunit ribosomal RNA
Source: RNAcentral
UACGGAGGGGGCGAGCGUUAUUCGGAAUUAUUGGGCGUAAAGGGCUCGUAGGCGGUCUGUUGCGUCGGGAGUGAAAACUUACAGCUUAACUGUGAGCGUGCUUCCGAUACGGGCAGACUUGAGGUAUUCAGGGGAGAACGGAAUUCCUGGUGUAGCGGUGAAAUGCGCAGAUAUCAGGAGGAACACCGGUGGCGAGGGCGGUUCUCUGGGAAUAUCCUGACGCUGAGGAGCGAAAGUGUGGGGAGCGAACAGG